Molecule: ribosomal RNA, 301 nt
Filed under: uncultured bacterium
Lineage: Bacteria
Description: partial 16S ribosomal RNA
Rfam family: Bacterial small subunit ribosomal RNA
Source: RNAcentral
CAGCCGCCGCGGUAAUACGAAGGGGGCUAGCGUUGUUCGGAAUUACUGGGCGUAAAGCGCACGUAGGCGGAUAUUUAAGUCAGGGGUGAAAUCCCAGAGCUCAACUCUGGAACUGCCUUUGAUACUGGGUAUCUUGAGUAUGGAAGAGGUGAGUGGAAUUCCGAGUGUAGAGGUGAAAUUCGUAGAUAUUCGGAGGAACACCAGUGGCGAAGGCGGCUCACUGGUCCAUUACUGACGCUGAGGUGCGAAAGCGUGGGGAGCAAACAGGAUUAGAGACCCCGGUAGUCCCUGUCUCUUAUAC